ACCAUCAUGGUGUGUGCUUGACUCCGCUUCUUGCCAUGUCUUCUCACAAGACUUUCAGGAUUAAGCGAUUCCUGGCCAAGAAACAAAAGCAAAAUCGUUCCAUUCCCCAGUGGAUUAGGAUGAAAACUGGCAAUAAAAUCAGGUACAACUCCAAAAGGAGACAUCGGAGAAGAACCAAGCUGGGUCUAUAAGGAAUUGCACGUGAGAUGGCACACACAUUUAUGCUGUCUGAAGGUCACAAUCACAUUACCGUAUCAAGCUGAAAACAUCACCAUUAUCUGGAGAAUUAGACAUGUUUUACUGGGAAUAUAUUUUUCCUUUCUGAAUCUGUUAUGAAUGCAUUGGUUGGCUGGGUUCAGUAAUAAAUAUGUGAGACCUUUCAUU
Non-coding RNA from Macaca mulatta (Rhesus monkey), 384 nucleotides. Lineage: Eukaryota; Metazoa; Chordata; Mammalia; Primates; Cercopithecidae. The record is from RefSeq and is a predicted model, not a curated record.